This 253-nucleotide ribosomal RNA is filed under the name uncultured bacterium. Its description in RNAcentral is "partial 16S ribosomal RNA". It matches the Rfam family "Bacterial small subunit ribosomal RNA", at positions 524 to 776 of the family's 1533-position model. The record is from RNAcentral.
UACGGGGGGGGCAAGCGUUGUUCGGAAUUACUGGGCGUAAAGGGCUCGUAGGUGGCUAACUAAGUCAGACGUGAAAUCCCCAGGCUCAACUUGGGAACUGCGUCUGAUACUGGAUGGCUUGAAUUCGGGAGAGGGAUGCAGAAUUCCAGGUGUAGCGGUGAAAUGCGUAGAUAUCUGGAGGAAUACCGGUGGCGAAGGCGGCAUCCUGGACCGAGAUUGACACUGAUGAGCGAAAGCUAGGGGAGCAAACGGG